Molecule: ribosomal RNA, 467 nt
Filed under: uncultured bacterium
Lineage: Bacteria
Description: partial 16S ribosomal RNA
Rfam family: Bacterial small subunit ribosomal RNA
Source: RNAcentral
ACGAACGCUGGCGGCGUGCUUAACACAUGCAAGUCGAACGGAAAGGCCCUGCUUUUGUGGGGUGCUCGAGUGGCGAACGGGUGUGUAACACGUGAGUAACCUGCCCUUGACUUUGGGAUAACUUCAGGAAACUGGGGCUAAUACCGGAUAGGAGCUCCUGCUGCAUGGUGGGGGUUGGAAAGUUUCGGCGGUUGGGGAUGGACUCGCGGCUUAUCAGCUUGUUGGUGGGGUAGUGGCUUACCAAGGCUUUGACGGGUAGCCGGCCUGAGAGGGUGACCGGCCACAUUGGGACUGAGAUACGGCCCAGACUCCUACGGGAGGCAGCAGUGGGGAAUAUUGCACAAUGGGCGGAAGCCUGAUGCAGCAACGCCGCGUGCGGGAUGACGGCCUUCGGGUUGUAAACCGCUUUCGCCUGUGACGAAGCGUGAGUGACGGUAAUGGGUAAAGAAGCACCGGCUAACUACGUG